UUUCCGUAGGUGAACCUGCGGGAGGAUCAUUACUGAGUGAGGGCCCCUCGGGGUCCAACCUCCCACCCGUGUUUAACGAACCUUGUUGCUUCGGCGGGCCCGCCUCACGGCCGCCGGGGGGCAUCUGCCCCCGGGCCCGCGCCCGCCGAAGCCACCUGGGAACGCUGUCUGAAGUAUGCAGUCUGAGACAAUUAUUAAAUUAAUUAAAACUUUCAACAACGGAUCUCUUGGUUCCG
This 236-nucleotide unclassified non-coding RNA is filed under the name plant metagenome. RNAcentral describes it as "partial contains small subunit ribosomal RNA, internal transcribed spacer 1, and 5.8S ribosomal RNA". The record is from RNAcentral.